GGAUGGGCCAGCCGACAGAUGGCGACGGCCGCGGUCUCGAAAACCGUUGGGGCUCACGCCCGUGCGAGUUCGACCCUCGCCCCAUCCGCCA
This 91-nucleotide transfer RNA is filed under the name Actinoplanes lutulentus. RNAcentral describes it as "tRNA-Ser". Lineage: Bacteria; Bacillati; Actinomycetota; Actinomycetes; Micromonosporales; Micromonosporaceae. The record is from RNAcentral.